GAUGAAGAACGUAGCGAAAUGCGAUAAGUAGUGUGAAUUGCAGAAUUCAGUGAAUCAUCGAAUCUUUGAACGCACAUUGCGCCCCUUGGUAUUCCAUGGGGCAUGCCUGUUCGAGCGUCAUUUGUACCUUCAAGCUCUGCUUGGUGUUGGGUGAUUGUCUAUCUUUAUAGACUCGCCUUAAAGUCAUUGGCAGCCGGCAUAUUGGCCUGGGAGCGCAGCACAAGUCGCGCUUCUUGUCAUGAAUGUUGGCGUCCAGUAAGUCUACAUAUUUUGCUCUUGACCACGGAUCAGGUAGGGAUACCCUUUGAACUUAAGCAUAUCAAUAAGCGGAGGA
This 334-nucleotide unclassified non-coding RNA is filed under the name soil metagenome. RNAcentral describes it as "partial contains 5.8S ribosomal RNA, internal transcribed spacer 2, and large subunit ribosomal RNA". The stretch from base 1 to 120 matches the Rfam family "5.8S ribosomal RNA", at positions 35 to 154 of the family's 154-position model. The record is from RNAcentral.